This is a non-coding RNA of Bactrocera oleae (olive fruit fly), 874 nucleotides long. Lineage: Eukaryota; Metazoa; Arthropoda; Insecta; Diptera; Tephritidae. The record is from RefSeq and is a predicted model, not a curated record.
GGUUAACAAAACUAUUAUACUCUGUAGCAACAGGUUGCGAGAGUAUAAAAAAGGAGAAUAAUUUGGAGUCAGGCUGUCGAAGCCGAUCUAAUAGAGUUGUGGCGAAAUAAAUGCUCAGCUUCGAUCGGCUAGUCAAAAACAGCUGUUUUAUAAAUCUCUAACGACAGUGAGAAUAGUCUAGAUUAGUGAAUACAAUAACAUUAAGGUGUCAUAGUGCAUGAUCACCUCAAGGCUACAUAACAUAGGACCACCCACACGUUGUUCAGUCGAACAUCUACUCUACUUAUCCUAGAUCACCAAUUAUUGUGAUUGAUUUUUAUUUAUUAUUAUACUUUUAUAUGUUAAAGCAACUCAACUUUUUUUUAACCAAACUUUUUUGGUAUAACGAACGUCCACUCUUUUCAGUCAAAGUUUCAUUGGUGUUGCCAACAUUGAAACUGAAGAUUUGACAGAUAGUUAAACUUCUGAAAACUUAAAACGAAAAAUCAAAACAAUUAAAUUCAGGUAUUGCUCACAAAAAGUUGCAGUUACACGAUCAAGAAAUUAGAAUUAACAGCCGAGACAAAUUUGAUUUGGUACUUGCGGUAAGUACGGAAGGGAGGAAUGUCGGUGACUGUUUGAGCUAUAAGGCAGCGCAAACGGCUCUAUACGUUUUAAGAGAGCAUCGCAAAGAAAGCCAGCAGAGAGUUGUCAACGGCAAUAUGCGCAACGAGAAAAGUCCCAACGAAUAAAAGGGAAAAGUAAUAAUUACGAACACAACGAGUAAACCAAGUAAGCUACGAAAAGCAAAAACGAAGGCAACAAAGUUUUUAUAUUAUUCAAAUUUAACAACGUUCGUGAACUAUUGAUAAAAUAUGAUUCUAUUAUCUAUCUA